Molecule: ribosomal RNA, 497 nt
Filed under: uncultured bacterium
Lineage: Bacteria
Description: partial 16S ribosomal RNA
Rfam family: Bacterial small subunit ribosomal RNA
Source: RNAcentral
GAUGAACGCUGGCGGCGUGCCUAAUACAUGCAAGUCGAGCGGACGGACGAGAAUCUUGCCUCUCUUAUGUUAGCGGCGGACGGGUGAGUAACACGUGGAUAACCUACCUAUAAGACUGGGAUAACUUCGGGAAACCGGAUCUAAUACCGGAUAAUAUUUUGAACCGCAUGGUUCAAAAGUGAAAGACGGUCUUGCUGUCACUUAUAGAUGUAUCCGCGCUGCAUUAGCUAGUUGGUAAGGUAACGGCUUACCAAGGCAACGAUGCAUAGCCGACCUGAGAGGAUGAUCAGCCACACUGGAACUGAGACACGGUCCAGACUCCUACGGGAGGCAGCAGUAGGGAAUCUUCCGCAAUGGGCGAAAGCCUGACGGAGCAACGCCGCGUGAGUGAAGAAGGUCUUCGGAUUGUAAAACUCUGUUAUUAGGGAAGAACAUAUGUGUAAGUAUCUGUGCACGUCUUGACGUUACCUAAUCAGAAAGCCACGGCUAACUACGUG